Molecule: long non-coding RNA, 2925 nt
Organism: Antechinus flavipes (yellow-footed antechinus)
Lineage: Eukaryota; Metazoa; Chordata; Mammalia; Dasyuromorphia; Dasyuridae
Exons: 4
Source: RefSeq, a predicted model, not a curated record
GGCCAAUAAAGGUGCUCAUCGUGGCAGAGGCGGCAUAUGGGAAGGCACUAGAAAGCGCCGCCUCUGAGAUGGGCACGGCCAAUAAAGGUGCCCAUCGUGGCAGAGGCGGCAUACGGGAAGGCACUAGAAAGCGCCGCCUCUUAGACGGGCAGGGAAAAUAAAGGGGCCCAUCGUGGCAGAGGCAGCAGCCGGGAAGGCAGACACUAGAAAGCCUCGCCUCUUAGAUGGGCACGGCAAAUAAAGGUGCCCAUCGGGGCAGAGGCGGCAUAUGGGAAGGCACUAGAAAGCGCCGCCUCUGAGAUGGGCACGGCCAAUAAAGGUACCCAUCGUGGCAGAGGAGGCAGCUGGGAAGGCACUAGAAAGCGCCGCCUCUUAGAGGGGCAGGGCCAAUAAAGGUGCCCAUCGUGGCAGAGGAGGCAGCUGGGAAGGCACUAGAAAGCGCCGCCUCUUAGAGGGGCACAGCCAAUAAAGGUGCCCAUCGUGGCAGAGGAGGUAGCUGGGAAGGCACUAGAAAGCGCCGCCUCUUAGAUGGGCACGGCCAAUAAAGAUGCCCAUCGUGGCAGAGGUGGCAUACGGGAAGGCACUAGAAAGCGUCGCCUCUUAGAUGGGCACGGCAAAUAAAGGUGCCCAUCGGGGCAGAGGCGGCAUAUGGGAAGGCACUAGAAAGCGCCGCCUCUUAGAGGGGCACGGCCAAUAAAGGUGCCCAUCGUGGCAGAGGAGGCAGCUGGGAAGGCACUAGAAAGCGCCGCCUCUUAGAUGGGCACAGCCAAUAAAGAUGCCCAUCGUGGCAGAGGUGGCAUAUGGGAAGGCACUAGAAAGCGCCGCCUCUUAGAGGGGCCCGGCAAAUAAAGGUGCCCAUCGGGGCAGAGGCGGCAUAUGGGAAGGCACUAGAAAGCGCCGCCUCUUAGAGGGGCAUGGCCAAUAAAGGUGCCCAUCGUGGCAGAGGAGGCAGCUGGGAAGGCACUAGAAAGCGCCGCCUCUUAGAUGGGCACGGCCAAUAAAGAUGCCCAUCGUGGCAGAGGCGGCAUAUGGGAAGGCACUAGAAAGCGCCGCCUCUUAGAGGGGCCCGGCAAAUAAAGGUGCCCAUCGGGGCAGAGGCGGCAUAUGGGAAGGCACUAGAAAGCGCCGCCUCUUAGAGGGGCACGGCCAAUAAAGGUGCCCAUCGUGGCAGAGGAGGCAGCUGAGAAGGCACUAGAAAGCGCCGCCUCUUAGAGGGGCAGGGCCAAUAAAGGUGCCCAUCGUGGCAGAGGAGGCAGCUGGGAAGGCACUAGAAAGCGCCGCCUCUUAGAUGGGCACGGCCAAUAAAGAUGCCCAUCGUGGCAGAGGUGGCAUACGGGAAGGCACUAGAAAGCGCCGCCUCUUAGAUGGGCACGGCAAAUAAAGGUGCCCAUCGGGGCAGAGGCGGCAUAUGGGAAGGCACUAGAAAGCGCCGCCUCUUAGAUGGGCACGGCCAAUAAAGAUGCCCAUCGUGGCAGAGGUGGCAUACGGGAAGGCACUAGAAAGCGCCGCCUCUUAGAUGGGCACGGCAAAUAAAGGUGCCCAUCGGGGCAGAGGCGGCAUAUGGGAAGGCACUAGAAAGCGCCGCCUCUUAGAUGGGCACGGCCAAUAAAGAUGCCCAUCGUGGCAGAGGUGGCAUACGGGAAGGCACUAGAAAGCGCCGCCUCUUAGAUGGGCACGGCAAAUAAAGGUGCCCAUCGGGGCAGAGGCGGCAUAUGGGAAGGCACUAGAAAGCGCCGCCUCUUAGAGGGGCACGGCCAAUAAAGGUGCCCAUCGUGGCAGAGGAGGCAGCUGAGAAGGCACUAGAAAGCGCCGCCUCUUAGAGGGGCAGGGCCAAUAAAGGUGCCCAUCGUGGCAGAGGAGGCAGCUGGGAAGGCACUAGAAAGCGCCGCCUCUUAGAUGGGCACGGCAAAUAAAGAUGCCCAUCGGGGCAGAGGCGGCAUAUGGGAAGGCACUAGAAAGCGCCGCCUCUUAGAUGGGCACGGCAAAUAAAGGUGCCCAUCGGGGCAGAGGCGGCAUAUGGGAAGGCACUAGAAAGCGCCGCCUCUUAGAGGGGCACGGCCAAUAAAGGUGCCCAUCGUGGCAGAGGAGGUAGCUGGGAAGGCACUAGAAAGCGCCGCCUCUUAGAGGGGCAGGGCCAAUAAAGGUGCCCAUCGUGGCCGAGGAGGCAGCCGGGAAGGCACCGAGAAAGCAUCACAUCUCCCUCAGCCAGAGCCCAGCUGAGGACUGAGGACAUAAGGGUGGUGUUUGAGGAAAUGAUGGCGAUCAAGGUGGACAGUCUUAAAACCGUGUUUCAUUACGAUAACCCUCCAUGUUCAUUCCUCAAACACUUGUGGAACACUUAAUGCUCCUUUAGUUAAAUCGGGUAAUUCAAAUAUUGGUCUUUGGGGAACAAAAGCUCUCUACAAAGAGUCUGGCAAAGAUCCUCUCCCUGGAUAAUUAACUUCUAGUCUAGGUAUGCUUUCCCUCCCUGUCACUUCAUCUCUAUUAGGAAAUAAAAUGGCCAAAGUAUCUCAUGGUUUUCAGAUACCAUUGCAGAAAUGCAAUGGAAAAGUCUUAAAUACGAUGAAUUAUUUUUAAUGUGUUUUUAGAAUUCAUAUCCUCGUUAAGCUAAAUGUAUUAUAACCACACCAGAUUUAACUUCUGUUAUACAAAAAGUACUUGAUUUCAAAUUAUUUUGAUUGAUUUGUUUAAAUCCAAUGAAUCAUUUUUAAUGUGUUUUUAGAAUUCAUACCCUCGUUAAGCUAAAUGUAUUAUAACCACACCAGAUUUAACUUCUGUUAUACAAAAAGUACUUGAUUUCAAAUUAUUUUGAUUGAUUUGUUUAAAUACAAUGAAUCAUUUUUAAUGUGUUUUUAGAAUUCAUACCCUCGUUAAGCUAAAUGUAUUAUAACCACACCAGAUUAAAGUUCUGUUAUACAAAAAGUA